UGGUUGAUCCUGCCAGAGGUUACUGCUAUCGAGAUUCGACUAAGCCAUGCGAGUCGAAUGUUCUUCGUGAACAUGGCGGACUGCUCAGUAACACGUGGACAACCUACCCUUGGGUCUGGCAUAAUCCUGGGAAACUGGGUAUAAUUCCAGAUAGGUCACAGAUGCUGGAAUGCACUGUGGCCGAAAGCUCCGGCGCCCAAGGAUGGGUCUGCGGCCUAUCAGGGUUGUAGUGGGUGUAACGGACCUACUAGCCUACGACGGGUACGGGUUGUGAGAGCAAGAGCCCGGAGAUGGAUUCUGAGACACGAAUCCAGGCCCUACGGGGUGCAGCAGGCGCGAAAACUUUACAAUGCGGGAAACCGUGAUAAGGGAAUCUCGAGUGCCAGCAUAUAAUGUUGGCUGUCCAGAUGCCUAAAAAGCAUCUGUUAGCAAGGGCCGGGCAAGACCGGUGCCAGCCGCCGCGGUAACACCGGCGGCCCGAGUGGUAACCGCUUUUAUUGGGUCUAAAGGGUCUGUAGCCCGCCAAGUAAGUCCCUGGGAAAAUCUGGCAGCCUUAACUGUCAAGGCUGCUAGGGGGAUACUGCCUAGGUCUUGGGACCGGGAGAGGUGAGAGGUACCUGUGGGGGUAGGGGUGAAAUCUUGUUGAUCCGUCGGGGGACCACCAGUGGGCGAAGGUCGGUCGUCACCAGGAACGGGGUCCGACGGGUAAGGGACGAAAGUCGUAGGGGUCACGAACCGGAUUAGAUACCCGGGUAGGUCCUAGCCGUAAACGAUGUCUCGUCGUAGGUGUCAGUCACGGUGUCGGACCGUGUAUUGGUGGCCGUAGGGAAGCCGUGAAGCCAGCCCACCUGGGAAAGUAAGGCCGCAGGGCUUAAACUUAAAAGGAAUUGGCGGGGGAGCACUACAACGGGUGGAGCCUGCGGGUUUAAAUGGAUUCAACGCCGGAAAUCUCACCGGGGGCGACAGGCGAUAUGAAGGUCAGGCUGAAGACCUUACCCGAUUAGCUGAGAGGUGGUGCAUGGCCGGUCGUCAGUUCGUACUGGUGAAGCAUCCUGUUAAGUCAGGGCAACGAGCGAGACCCACGUCCACAGUUGCCAGCAUACCCUCCGGGGGUGGAUGGGUACACUGUGGAGACCGCCGCUGCUAAAGCGGAGGAAGGGAAUGGGCAACGGUAGGUCAGUAUGCCCCGAAUCUCCCGGGCUACACGGCGGGCUACAAUGGUUGGUACAAUGGGCAUCUACCCCGAAAGGGGAAGGAAAUCUCUUAAAGCCAAUCGUAGUUCGGAUUGAGGGCUGCAACUCGCCCUCAUGAAGCUGGAAUCCGUAGUAAUCGCGUUUCAACAGAACGCGGGUGAAUACGUCCCUGCGUCCUUGCACACACCGCCCGUCAAACCACCCGAGUAGGGUCCGGAUGAGGGUGUAUUAUAUUGAUACAUUCGAAUCUGGGCUUUGCAAGGGGGGUUAAGUCGUAACAAGGUAACC
RNAcentral lists this ribosomal RNA (1481 nucleotides) under uncultured archaeon. Its description in RNAcentral is "bacterial SSU rRNA". It matches the Rfam family "Archaeal small subunit ribosomal RNA". The record is from RNAcentral.